This 1109-nucleotide ribosomal RNA is filed under the name Bacillus sp. C-29. RNAcentral describes it as "bacterial SSU rRNA". It matches the Rfam family "Bacterial small subunit ribosomal RNA", at positions 30 to 1121 of the family's 1533-position model. Lineage: Bacteria; Bacillati; Bacillota; Bacilli; Caryophanales; Bacillaceae. The record is from RNAcentral.
CCAGACUGCGGCGUGCUAUAAUGCAAGUCGAGCGAAGAGAUGGGAGCUUGCUCCCUGAUCUUAGCGGCGGACGGGAGAGUAACACGUGGGCAACCUGCCCUGCAGACUGGGAUAACUCCGGGAAACCGGAGCUAAUACCGGGUAAUACAUCGCACCGCAUGGUGCAAUGUUGAAAGUUGGCUUUUGGAUAUCACUGUGCGAUGGGGCCCCGGCGCAUUUUCUAUUUGGGAAGGGGAUGGGUUUUCCCGGCGACAAUAUGUAUCCGACAUGUGAGGGGGAGCGCCCACACUGGGACUGAGACACGGCCCCCACUCCUACAGGAGGGGGCACUAUGGAAUCUUCCCCAAUGGGCAAAAGUCUGACAGAGAACCGCCCCGUGAGUGAGAAAAGGCUUCUGGUCUCAAAGCUCUGUUGUGAGGGAAAAAAACAUACCCCUCUAAUAUAGGGGGACCUUGUCGGUACCUAUCCACAAAGCCACGGCUAACUACAUGCCCCCGCCCCCGGUAAUACACAGGGGGGAAGCGUUGUCCGGAAUUAUUGUGCGUAAAGCGCGCGCACGGGGUCUUUUAAAUCUGAUAUGAAAACCCACGGCUCUCCCGCGUAGAGGCAUUGUGAACUGUGGGACUUGAGUGCGCAAAAGAAGAGAGUAAUUCUACGUGUAUCGCUGAGAUGCGUAGAUAUGUGUAGAAACACAACUGUGGAAAGCGGCGCUCUGUGCUGUGACUGAGACUGAGACGCGCAAACGUGUGGAGCACACAGAAUAAGAUACACUGUGAUACCACACGCUAUACAAUGAGAGCGCUGUGUGGUGGGGUUCCACACUCUCAGCUCUGAUGAACACAUUAUACACACUCCGUGGGGAGAACGACAGCACGGUGAGACUCACAAGAGUUGACAGGGGCCCGCACAAAAGUGUGGCAUGUGUGUUAUAUCUCAAAAAAGCGCAAAACUUAUCACGGUCUCGAGAUCCUCUGACAAUACUCGUAGACACGAAGAUUCUCCCUCUCGGGGACACAGAAGACACGUGGUGCAUCGUGUGUCUCACAUCUCGUCUUGAGAAUAUGUGUUAUAGUCGCAACAACAGAGCAAACUUGUGCAUCAUAUGUCAG